This 117-nucleotide non-coding RNA is filed under the name uncultured Cetobacterium sp. Its description in RNAcentral is "FMN riboswitch (RFN element)". It matches the Rfam family "FMN riboswitch aptamer (RFN element)". Rfam says of the family: The RFN element is a highly conserved domain that is found frequently in the 5'-untranslated regions of prokaryotic mRNAs that encode for flavin mononucleotide (FMN) biosynthesis and transport proteins. Lineage: Bacteria; Fusobacteriati; Fusobacteriota; Fusobacteriia; Fusobacteriales; Fusobacteriaceae. The record is from RNAcentral.
GCUUCAGGGCAGGGUGAGCAUCUUUGCAAUUCCCUACCGGCGGUUAUAGUCCGCGAAACCUUCGGGUUUGAUUUGGUGAAACUCCAAAACCGACAGUAUAGUCUGGAUGAAAGAAGU